RNAcentral lists this ribosomal RNA (508 nucleotides) under uncultured bacterium. RNAcentral describes it as "partial 16S ribosomal RNA". It matches the Rfam family "Bacterial small subunit ribosomal RNA", at positions 28 to 523 of the family's 1533-position model. The record is from RNAcentral.
GAUGAACGCUAGCUACAGGCUUAACACAUGCAAGUCGAGGGGAAACGACAUCGAAAGCUUGCUUUUGAUGGGCGUCGACCGGCGCACGGGUGAGUAACGCGUAUCCAACCUGCCCACCACUUGGGAAUAACCUUGCGAAAGUAAGACUAAUACCUAAUGAUAUCCCACGAAGGCAUCCGAACGGGAUUAAAGAUUUAUCGGUGAUGGAUGGGGAUGCGUCUGAUUAGCUUGUUGGCGGGGUAACGGCCCACCAAGGCGACGAUCAGUAGGGGUUCUGAGAGGAAGGUCCCCCACAUUGGAACUGAGACACGGUCCAAACUCCUACGGGAGGCAGCAGUGAGGAAUAUUGGUCAAUGGGCGAGAGCCUGAACCAGCCAAGUAGCGUGCAGGAUGACGGCCCUAUGGGUUGUAAACUGCUUUUAUAAGGGAAUAAAGUGAGUCUCGUGAGACUUUUUGCAUGUACCUUAUGAAUAAGGACCGGCUAAUUCCGUGCCAGCCGCCGCCGUAA